RNAcentral lists this ribosomal RNA (629 nucleotides) under Sphingomonas yabuuchiae. RNAcentral's name for it is "bacterial SSU rRNA". It matches the Rfam family "Bacterial small subunit ribosomal RNA", at positions 91 to 755 of the family's 1533-position model. The record is from RNAcentral. Lineage: Bacteria; Pseudomonadati; Pseudomonadota; Alphaproteobacteria; Sphingomonadales; Sphingomonadaceae.
UUUAGUGGCGCACGGGUGCGUAACGCGUGGGAAUCUGCCCUUUGGUUCGGAAUAACAGCUGGAAACGGCUGCUAAUACCGGAUGAUGACGAAAGUCCAAAGAUUUAUCGCCAGAGGAUGAGCCCGCGUUGGAUUAGGUAGUUGGUGGGGUAAAGGCCUACCAAGCCGACGAUCCAUAGCUGGUCUGAGAGGAUGAUCAGCCACACUGGGACUGAGACACGGCCCAGACUCCUACGGGAGGCAGCAGUGGGGAAUAUUGGACAAUGGGCGAAAGCCUGAUCCAGCAAUGCCGCGUGAGUGAUGAAGGCCCUAGGGUUGUAAAGCUCUUUUACCCGGGAAGAUAAUGACUGUACCGGGAGAAUAAGCCCCGGCUAACUCCGUGCCAGCAGCCGCGGUAAUACGGAGGGGGCUAGCGUUGUUCGGAAUUACUGGGCGUAAAGCGCACGUAGGCGGCUUUGUAAGUCAGAGGUGAAAGCCUGGAGCUCAACUCCAGAACUGCCUUUGAGACUGCAUCGCUUGAAUCCAGGAGAGGUCAGUGGAAUUCCGAGUGUAGAGGUGAAAUUCGUAGAUAUUCGGAAGAACACCAGUGGCGAAGGCGGCUGACUGGACUGGUAUUGACGCUGAGGUGCG